Molecule: long non-coding RNA, 377 nt
Filed under: Brassica napus (rape)
Lineage: Eukaryota; Viridiplantae; Streptophyta; Magnoliopsida; Brassicales; Brassicaceae
Description: long non-coding RNA (BNAP_LNC005080)
Source: RNAcentral
AGCCAUUGUAGACGUUAUGGAUUUUGCAAGUUUAUCAGCAGGUUUAUUGCCUUCCCUUUUAAUCCAUUGAAUCUUGAUUUCUUGAAACUUCUGUAUCCACCAUCUGAUUUCCCUUGUCCAAUUAUACAUUGCAAAGUUGAGACUCUUGUUAUUGAUAAUGUCAACGGCCUUCUUGCAGUCACUCUCAAAAAUAAUCUUUCUGUGCCCCUGAGCCCAGCAAUGCUGCAGAGCCAUUAAAAUAGCCUGUAAUUCACUUUCCAGUGCUGUACCGACUUUACCACCCCUAGCUUAUGCAGCUCCUAUAAAUUGUCCUUCCUCAUUACGAAGGACCCAACCUGCUGUAGCCCCUAUGAAAGCUUGCUCAAAUUCAAAACGAG